GGCGUUGUGUAAUGGUAAGACCUCAGUUUUCCAAACUGAAGACACGGGUUCGAUUCCCGUCGCCC
RNAcentral lists this transfer RNA (65 nucleotides) under uncultured Yoonia sp. It matches the Rfam family "tRNA". From Rfam's summary of the family: Transfer RNA (tRNA) molecules are approximately 80 nucleotides in length. Their secondary structure includes four short double-helical elements and three loops (D, anti-codon, and T loops). Lineage: Bacteria; Pseudomonadati; Pseudomonadota; Alphaproteobacteria; Rhodobacterales; Paracoccaceae. The record is from RNAcentral.